RNAcentral lists this ribosomal RNA (492 nucleotides) under uncultured bacterium. Its description in RNAcentral is "partial 16S ribosomal RNA". It matches the Rfam family "Bacterial small subunit ribosomal RNA", at positions 29 to 507 of the family's 1533-position model. The record is from RNAcentral.
AGUGAACGCUGGCGGUAGGCCUAACACAUGCCAGUCGAACGGCAGCACAGUAAGAGCUUGCUCUUACGGGUGGCGAGUGGCGGACGGGUGAGGAAUACAUCGGAAUCUACUUGUUCGUGGGGGAUAACGUAGGGAAACUUACGCUAAUACCGCAUACGACCUACGGGUGAAAGCAGGGGAUCUUCGGACCUUGCGCGAUUGAAUGAGCCGAUGUCGGAUUAGCUAGUUGGCGGGGUAAAGGCCCACCAAGGCGACGAUCCGUAGCUGGUCUGAGAGGAUGAUCAGCCACACUGGAACUGAGACACGGUCCAGACUCCUACGGGAGGCAGCAGUGGGGAAUAUUGGACAAUGGGCGCAAGCCUGAUCCAGCCAUACCGCGUGGGUGAAGAAGGCCUUCGGGUUGUAAAGCCCUUUUGUUGGGAAAGAAAAGCAGCAGGUUAAUACCCCGCUGUUCUGACGGUACCCAAAGAAUAAGCACCGGCUAACUUCGUG